UAAACGACUCUCGGCAACGGAUAUCUCGGCUCUCGCAUCGAUGAAGAACGUAGCGAAAUGCGAUACUUGGUGUGAAUUGCAGAAUCCCGCGAACCAUCGAGUCUUUGAACGCAAGUUGCGCCCGAAGCCAUUAGGUUGAGGGCACGUCUGCCUGGGCGUCUCG
Molecule: ribosomal RNA, 163 nt
Filed under: Camellia longipedicellata
Lineage: Eukaryota; Viridiplantae; Streptophyta; Magnoliopsida; Ericales; Theaceae
Also listed under: 1 other name
Description: 5.8S ribosomal RNA
Rfam family: 5.8S ribosomal RNA
About the family: 5.8S ribosomal RNA (5.8S rRNA) is a component of the large subunit of the eukaryotic ribosome. It is transcribed by RNA polymerase I as part of the 45S precursor that also contains 18S and 28S rRNA.
Source: RNAcentral